UUUUUUAUUAGAGAUUGCAAUCAUGAUUGGAAUAUAAAUAUAAAUAAUUGACUGAGGAUAGAAAUCAAGGUAGUGGCCUUCAAUUCAGGGUGGGUCAAUGGCCCGAACUAAUUAUCACUACUAAAAAAAUAGUAAAUGAAGACAAUGACCCUUUAAGCCAAUGUUAUCAGGGAUGAUUAACUAAUUUAAUUUGAUCUCAUCAAAAGUCGAUGACUUUCUUUUAAUUGACCCAUUGAUUGAACUGGAACAGUGGGGCUUUUAACUUCGAGUUUUGAGUUGACUCUGCAUUUGAUCAAGUUUACUAGCUGGGGAGGUUACGUUCAUGAAUAAGGCAUCAUCAAACUAUUUCAAAUUCAACUGUAAUAUUUUUCUUGCGUGUUUGUUUCUCAAUACAAUACCCACUUUCAAUGCUCGGGUUUUCCAGGUAGUGAGAGAUCUUCAACAAGUAAUCAUUUUCAAGAAGUUCCAAUCGUCGGUGUCGUUUGAAUUGGUCAUCUAAAGCUGCCC
This 507-nucleotide long non-coding RNA is filed under the name Citrus sinensis (sweet orange). RNAcentral's name for it is "long non-coding RNA (CSIN_LNC005822)". Lineage: Eukaryota; Viridiplantae; Streptophyta; Magnoliopsida; Sapindales; Rutaceae. The record is from RNAcentral.